RNAcentral lists this long non-coding RNA (217 nucleotides) under Mytilus galloprovincialis (Mediterranean mussel). The record is from RNAcentral. Lineage: Eukaryota; Metazoa; Mollusca; Bivalvia; Mytilida; Mytilidae.
UAGUCUGUAUUGUGUUAACUAUACCAAAAGAAAAAAUUGAAACAGCUUGUGAAAGAAUAAAAGAGUUCUGUGACCUACAUUAUAAUAGUGACAGUCCAUCCGUUAUUUCCUAUUAAUCAUUGACUGUGAUAAUACUGUGAUAAAGUUAUAUUAAAUCAAUGGACCACUUUGAUUGGUAUGGUACCAUGAUGCAGAGUGCAGCUAACUUUCAUAAUUA